Panicum virgatum (switchgrass) is the source of this 799-nucleotide RNA transcript. RefSeq lists it as uncharacterized. The transcript is spliced from 3 exons. The record is from RefSeq and is a predicted model, not a curated record. NCBI's taxonomy places the organism in Eukaryota, Viridiplantae, Streptophyta, Magnoliopsida, Poales, Poaceae.
GGGGGGGGGUCCCUUGCAUUGCAAGGUCGCACUCGCACCAUCCCCCACCAAAUUCGCCGCCGCGGCAUAGGGCUCUCCAUCCGUCGCCGACGAGCAGAGCUAGGGAGGAACCGAGGAAAGGAAGAAGAUGGGUGGCGGCAUGGAGGUGCACAAGAACCGGUGGAUCGAGGAGUGGAACGCCGGCCGCGAGAACCUCGAGUUCAACUUCCGCUGGACGCGCCGCAGCCUCGCCGUCGUCGGCCUCUUCGGCCUCGCCGUCCCCAUCCUCGUCUACAAGGGCAUCGUUCGCGAAUUCUUCACUACUUCCCUGGCUUAGCGUCUUAGUCAAAGCCCUGGACCUUCCUGAUGAUAGAAAAGCAAAUGCAAGAUGAGGAUGCAGGAAGACCGUUGAGGAAAUUCUUGUAAUAUGAAGAAUUAUGCUCACUUUGUUUCAAGAAAUAAGUGUUUUUAUCAGAUCUUGGAGCUUUCAACUUGCUUGAGAAACAUAAUUAUACUCAAUUCUCUGUAAGCACUUUAAGUAGUUGUGUGUUGCUCCAAGUGUUUCUUUGCGGAACCUAUGUACCUUCUUGGCUUCAUUAUGACUAACUAUGCCACCCGGGCAUGCUUUAUUUCCCCCCCAAGAGGACAGUAUGUAAUUGUGGUGUUGUGCUGGUGGGUUCUGGUUUUUCAGUAAGCUGGUGUACCCAUGCUUUAUUUUUCCCCCAAGAGGACAGUAUGUAAUUGUGGUGUUGUGCCGGUGGGUUCUGGUUUUUCAGUAAGCUGGUGCACCCAUGCUUUGGUAAAAAAUCAAAUAGCCUCA